AUGGCGAUAGCCUGCAAGUGCAGCCCCGCGGUGAGGCUGCUGCCGAACCCGAUCACGGCACAGCUCCCGGGCGGCAGGAGCCACGGAAGAUGCAGAUGCAGAAGCCUUGCCGUUCACGCGCAGCUCCCGACCGAGGAUGAGUACCCCGCUGAGUCACCGAAAAGGGUCCAGGUUACACAGGCUUCGAUCCAGAGCCUCAGGAGGAGCCGCCGGAGGGGACCCGGCGCGCGGCAGAGCCUGAUCUCCGUCGGGACGUCGCGCGGCGGAGGGGAUGAGUGGAGCAGCGACUUCGAGCUGACGCUCCGGCAGCUGAGGCUGGACGACCUGAUCGAGGACGGGCAGGGCGACGCCGACGUCCUGGUGCACCUUCUGGUCCAGCAGCACACCCAGUUCGGAAUGUCGAUCAAAGGGCGAGUGGUCACAUCGCUCACCAAAAUAUGCGAUUCCUGCUCCGCCCCAUACUGCACAAAGAUUGAUGAGCAAUUCGACAUCACGGUGCUGUCUUCCUCCAGGAAGGAUCAGAGCGGGUUGCCUGAAAUCGGAGACAGCGAUCCGUCAGUCAUCUACGUGAAGCCAGGAACAGAAAUUGAUAUCGACUCGUCAAUCCAGGAGACAAUACGACUAACAGCGUCAGCCAAGAGUUCAUGUUCGGAGGCGUGUGAGAAGUCUCCUGUCGUGUGGAAACGUGCUGGUAACCAGAAGAAGCGGUACAGCCAAACGUGGUCAAAACUUCUUGAUCUCAAGAGAAGUCUGGAUAAGGCGCCCAGCUAA
This 771-nucleotide ribosomal RNA is filed under the name Triticum aestivum (bread wheat). RNAcentral's name for it is "partial small subunit ribosomal RNA". Lineage: Eukaryota; Viridiplantae; Streptophyta; Magnoliopsida; Poales; Poaceae. The record is from RNAcentral.